GACUACGGUCUCAGAUCAUAUGUGGCGACCCGCUGAAUUUAAGCAUAUUACUAAGCAGAGGAAAAGAAACUAACCAGCAUUCUCUCAGUAAUGGCCAGUGACUAGGGAAGAGCCCAGUGGCGAAUCCCCAUACAGCGGCAAGCGUGGGAAAUGUGGCGUACAGAACACCGACUCCCCAGCAUCGCUCAUGGGGCUCAGGUCCUUCUGAUAGUCUCACCCUGUGGAUGUAGUUAGGCCGGUAGCGGACUCUGGCACGCCGGGAUCAGGUCUUCGAUUUGCGGUGCUUGGGAAUGCAGCCUAAAGCGUGUGGUAAACUCCAUCUAAGGCUAAAUACGAGCGCGAGACCAAUUGCCAACAAGUACCAUAAGGGAAAGUUGAAAAGAACUUUGAAGAGCGAGUUCAAGAGGGUGUGAAACCAUUGAGAGGCAAACUGGUGGAGUCCAUGCAGUCCGGCUGCAGGAUUCAACAUGGCAGCCAGGUGGGUCGCCUGGAACGGUGGUUGCCUUUGCGGGACUGCGGCCCAGGCACACCUGGCCCCCGCAGAGCGCAUUUCCUCUGUAGCAGUGCACCGCGACCAGCUGGGAAGGCCCCAGGAGGGCAGGUGGCUCUCUGCUCCAGCAGAGUGUUACAACCCCCUGACAGUUUUGCUGUGUCCGCGGGGCCGAGGAAGAUUGACUGCCGCCGUGCCCUUCUCCGGGAACUGUCCUGGCCCCUCUUGGGAGUCGACAGGGCUCCUGAUGCGACUCUGGUAGACUGCCCUUAGUGCGCUCUGAUCGCGGCAUGCUGCCGGGCGGGGAGGCCCACAAAGGGCACCAGGGGUCUGAGGUGAUGUUUAACCACCCCACCUGUCUUGAAACACAGACAAAGGAGUCUAAUACGUGCACGAGUCAGAGGGCCGUAUGAAACCCUGUGGCGCAAUGAAGGUGGGGGCCGGCGUGUGCAGAUUGCGGUGGGAUCCCAUCUGGUUGGGUGCACCACCAACCCAUCUCGCCUGCUCUGUCAGGGAAAUGGAGCAUGAGCGUGUGUGAUAGGACCCGAAAGAUGGUGAACUAGGCCUGGUGGAGGUCUGUAGUGAUCCUGAUGUGUAAAUCGGUCGACUGACCUGGGUAUAGGGGCGAAAGACUAAUCGAACCAUCUAGUAGCUGGUGCACGGAAACCCCAGUUUUAUCUGGUAAAGCGAAUGAUUAGAGGUCUUGGGGCCAAAAUGAUCUCGACCUAUUCUCAAACUUUAAAUGGGUAAGAAGCCCGACUCGCUGGCAUGGAGCCAGGCAUUGAACACAAGCGCCCAGUGGACAACUUUUGGUAAGCAGAACUGACUCUGCGGAAUGAACCGAACCCGCGUUAAUGCGUCUGAUACCGAUGCUCAUCAGACCCCAGAAAAGGUGUUGGUUGAUAAAGACAGCAGGACGGUGGCCAUGGAAGUCGGAACCCGCUAAGGAGUGUGUAAAAAAACUCAUCUGCCGAAUCAACUAGUCCUGAAAAUGGAUGGUGUUGGGAGCGUCGUACACAUACCCCGCCGGCAGGGGCUAAGCCGCGACAAGUAGGAGGGCUGCUGCGGUGCACACGGAAGCCCAAGGCGAGGGCCCGAGUGGAGCCGCCGCAAGUGCAGAUCUUGGUAGUAGUAGCAAAUAUUCAAACGAGAAUUUUGAAGGCCAAAGUGGAAAAGGGUUCCAUGCGAACAGCAGUUGAACAUGGGUCAGCCGGUCCUAAGAGAUGGGCGCGCGCCAUUCGGAAGGGGCGGGCAAUGACCUCUGUUGCCUUCCGUCGAUCGAAAGGGAGUCUGACUCAGAUCCCCGAACCCGGAGUGGCGAAGUCGGGCGCCUUUGCGGUGUCCAGUGCGGUAACGCAAAUGAUCCUGGAGAAGCCGGUGGGAGCCCCGAGGAGAGUUCUUUUCUUUGUGAUGGGCAGGGCACCCUGCAAUAUGUUCGUCCCCAGAGAGAGGGGCCUGAGCCGUGGAAAGUGUUGCGGUUCCGGCGGCAUCCGGUGAGCUCUCGCUGGCCCUUGAAAAUCCGGGGGAGAUGGUGUAAAUCUCGCACUGGGCCGUACCCAUAUCUGCAGCAGGUCUCCAAGGUGAACAGCCUCUGGCAAGUUGGAACAAUGUAGGUAGUGUAAGUCGGCAAGUCAGAUCGUAACUUUGGGAUAAAGAUUGGCUCUAAGGGAUGGAUCGGUCGGGCUGGGGUGUGAAGCGGGUUGGGCACGUGCUGCGGUUGGACAAGGCGUCUUGCCCCCCCUUCCCGGGACCGGCGCUGACUUUGGACGCGAGCCCGGCCCCCAGCUGCAGUGGUAGUCUCAAUCUAGCAAAACCACAGCCAAGAAACAGCAGGGAAAGAAGACCUGGGCGAGCUUGACUCUCCUCUGGCACCAUGCAGUGCCAUGAGAGGGGUAGGAUAAGUGGGAGGCCCUCGGGCCUCUGGUGAAAUACCACUACCCCUAUUGUUUUUUCACUGCCCUGAUGAGGCAGAGGGCGAGCCCGUGGGGCUCUCACUUCUGGCUCCCCGGGCGCAACCCAUUCUGGGGAAAGCGGCAGGUGGGGAGUUUGAUCUGUCAAAUGAUAACGCAGUUGUCUAAGGCGAGCUCAGGGAGGACAGAAACCUCCCGCAGAGCAGAAGGGCAAAUGCUCGCCUGAUCUCGAUUUCCAGUAUGAAUCCAGACCGUGAAAGCGGGGACUCGUGAUCCUUCUGACUUUUUGGGUUUCAAGCAGGAGGUGUCAGAAAAGUUACCACAGGGAUAACUGACUUGUGGCGGCCAAACGUUCAUAGCGGCGUCGCUUUUUGAUCCUUCGGUGUUGGCUCUUCCUAUCAUUGUGAAGCAGAAUUCAAGCGUUAGAUUGUUCACCCACUAAUGGAGAACGUGAGGUGGGUUUAGACUGCCGUAAGACAGGUUAGUUUUUACCGUACUGAUGAUGUGUUGUUGCAUAGUAAUCCUGCUCAGUACGAGAGGAACCGCAGGUUCAGACAUUUGGUGUAUGUGCUUGGCUGAGGGAAAAGCUCUAAAUGGACCCUGCUAAAGCU
This 3011-nucleotide ribosomal RNA is filed under the name Ambystoma mexicanum (axolotl). RNAcentral's name for it is "eukaryotic LSU rRNA". It matches the Rfam family "Eukaryotic large subunit ribosomal RNA". Lineage: Eukaryota; Metazoa; Chordata; Amphibia; Caudata; Ambystomatidae. The record is from RNAcentral.